CGUAGCUCAGCUGGAUAGAGCGUCUGGCUACGGACCAGAAGGUCGUGGGUUCGAAUCCUGUCG
This 63-nucleotide transfer RNA is filed under the name mouse gut metagenome. It matches the Rfam family "tRNA", at positions 6 to 65 of the family's 71-position model. Rfam says of the family: Transfer RNA (tRNA) molecules are approximately 80 nucleotides in length. RNAcentral also lists the same sequence under 1 other name. The record is from RNAcentral.